AUUGAACGCUGGCGGCAUGCCUUACACAUGCAAGUCGAACGGCAGCACGGGUGCUUGCACCUGGUGGCGAGUGGCGAACGGGUGAGUAAUACAUCGGAACAUGUCCUUUAGUGGGGGAUAGCCCGGCGAAAGCCGGAUUAAUACCGCAUACGAUCUACGGAUGAAAGCGGGGGCCCUUCGGGCCUCGCGCUAUAGGGUUGGCCGAUGGCUGAUUAGCUAGUUGGUGGGGUAAAGGCCUACCAAGGCGACGAUCAGUAGCUGGUCUGAGAGGACGACCAGCCACACUGGGACUGAGACACGGCCCAGACUCCUACGGGAGGCAGCAGUGGGGAAUUUUGGACAAUGGGCGAAAGCCUGAUCCAGCAAUGCCGCGUGUGUGAAGAAGGCCUUCGGGUUGUAAAGCACUUUUGUCCGGAAAGAAAUGCUUGGCCCUAAUACGGUCGGGGGAUGACGGUACCGGAAGAAUAAGCACCGGCUAACUACGUG
This 486-nucleotide ribosomal RNA is filed under the name uncultured bacterium. Its description in RNAcentral is "partial 16S ribosomal RNA". It matches the Rfam family "Bacterial small subunit ribosomal RNA", at positions 30 to 507 of the family's 1533-position model. The record is from RNAcentral.